GAUGAACGCUGGCGGCGUGCCUAAUACAUGCAAGUCGAGCGAACAGACGAGGAGCUUGCUCCUCUGACGUUAGCGGCGGACGGGUGAGUAACACGUGGAUAACCUACCUAUAAGACUGGGAUAACUUCGGGAAACCGGAGCUAAUACCGGAUAAUAUAUUGAACCGCAUGGUUCAAUAGUGAAAGACGGUUUUGCUGUCACUUAUAGAUGGAUCCGCGCCGCAUUAGCUAGUUGGUAAGGUAACGGCUUACCAAGGCAACGAUGCGUAGCCGACCUGAGAGGGGGUUCGGCCCCACUGAACUUGAGCACGGGCCCGGCUCCCACCGGGAGCAAGAGUUGGGAAACCUUCCGCAAUGGGCGAAGGCCGGAGGAGCAAAGGCGCGGGAGGUAAUAAGGGCCUCCGAAUGGUAAACCUUUGUAAUAGGGAAGAACAAAAUGUGAAAGUACUAUGGACGGCUUGAAGGGUCCCAAACAAAAAGGCAAGGCCAACUUACGU
RNAcentral lists this ribosomal RNA (496 nucleotides) under uncultured bacterium. Its description in RNAcentral is "partial 16S ribosomal RNA". It matches the Rfam family "Bacterial small subunit ribosomal RNA", at positions 28 to 506 of the family's 1533-position model. The record is from RNAcentral.